UCAGGCUCAAACCAUCGGCCUAAAAUACUUAAACUCACUUAUUAUUAUCAGGGUCUAUGAUUUCUUAUGUAGUGGGUAUCACAAACAGUAGCAAUAAUAACUCGUAGGGUCCAAAUCACCGGCCCAAAUUACUUAAGUCUAGUUAUUAUUAUUAUUAGGGUCCAUGAUCUCUUGUAUAGUUAUAUAUCUAAUCACAAUUCCGUUUCCAUCCAAUGUGGGACCAUUGGGUAUCACAGUAGCAAUAAUAACAAAUUGGCCCCAAAAUACUUAUAUAAACCCGGUUAUUAUCAUUAGGGUCCAUGAUCUCUUAUAUAUUAUUUUCAAUCCCAAUUUCUUUUCCGUCCCAUGUGAGACUAUUGGGGCAUCACAAACUCCCGCAGUUUCUGACGUCUUUGUCAGCCCAAUUACACACACAACCCAAGACUCUCCUUAUUUAGGUCUGACAUCCUUAUCAACCCAAUCACAUAUACAAUCCACCAUUUAGGCUCUGAAGUCCUUGUCAGCCUAAUCACACACAAAACCCACGGCUCUCCUUAUUUAAGUCUGACAUCCUUGUCCGGUUAGUGAAUUUGCUCUAAUAACAAAUAUAACGACCCGACCUGCUAACAAUAAUAGCUUGUUCCCAAACCACCAGUCCAAAAUACUUAAGCCGGUUAUUAUUAUUAGAAUCUUUGGUCAUUUGUAUAUCCAGUUCCAUUCCCAUU
Molecule: long non-coding RNA, 704 nt
Filed under: Ananas comosus (pineapple)
Lineage: Eukaryota; Viridiplantae; Streptophyta; Magnoliopsida; Poales; Bromeliaceae
Description: long non-coding RNA (ACOM_LNC002346)
Source: RNAcentral